CCUACGGGGUGCAGCAGUGGGGAAUAUUGGGCAAUGGGCGCAAGCCUGACCCAGCAACGCCGCGUGAAGGAAGAAGGCUUUCGGGUGGUAAACUUCUUUUCUGAGGGAAGAAGAAAGUGACGGUACCUCAGGAAUAAGCCACGGCUAACUACGUGCCAGCAGCCGCGGUAAUACGUAGGUGGCAAUCGUUAUCCGGAUUUAUUGGGUGUAAAGGGCGUGUAGGCGGGAAAGCAAGUCAGAUGUGAAAACGCAGGGCUCAACCCUGAGCCUGCAUUUGAAACUGUUGGUCUUGAGUGCUGGAGAGGCAAUCGGAAUUCCGUGUGUAGCGGUGAAAUGCGUAGAUAUACGGAGGAACACCAGUGGCGAAGGCGGAUUGCUGGACAGUAACUGACGCUGAGGCGCGAAAGCGUGGGGAGCAAACAGGAUUAGAUACCCUAGUAGUC
This 443-nucleotide ribosomal RNA is filed under the name uncultured bacterium. RNAcentral's name for it is "partial 16S ribosomal RNA". It matches the Rfam family "Bacterial small subunit ribosomal RNA", at positions 338 to 795 of the family's 1533-position model. The record is from RNAcentral.